AAAAUCCGUCGACUUUUUAAGUUGUGAGGGUUCAAGUCCCCCCAUCCCCCA
This 51-nucleotide transfer RNA is filed under the name Hordeum vulgare. RNAcentral's name for it is "partial tRNA-Leu". Lineage: Eukaryota; Viridiplantae; Streptophyta; Magnoliopsida; Poales; Poaceae. The record is from RNAcentral.